Molecule: long non-coding RNA, 3427 nt
Organism: Antechinus flavipes (yellow-footed antechinus)
Lineage: Eukaryota; Metazoa; Chordata; Mammalia; Dasyuromorphia; Dasyuridae
Exons: 2
Source: RefSeq, a predicted model, not a curated record
AGGAGAAUAACGGAGGUGCAGAGCCUGUCUGAUGCUCAGUUUUAGGUGGGGAUAGUGACGCUAUCAAACCUUUGUCUGCAGCACGGCAGACAGGCUACAGGCUUGGAAAAGAAUUUCCAAGUGAAAAAACGAGUGAGAAAGAGGGAUCUCGUUAUUUCUUGCAUCUAUCCUGGAAGCAGUGCCUCCAGGGGGACUCGCCCUUCUCUGCCGCAGUCUGUGGUGUAUUGAAUGAAGUGUCAAGAUAGUGGAGUAAAGGCAGAGACUCGCCUGAGCUUUCCUCUACAUUCCUUCAAAUACUUUAAAAUAAUUACCAUAAACAAAUUCUACAGCAGCAGUACAAAAAGACAGUGAAACAAUUUUCCAGCCUAUGACAACUUAGGAAGUUUGCAGGAAAAGUGAAAAAGGAGUACAGGCUGUGUGCCAGAGCAAAACCGGCUCCAGCAAACCAGGAGCAGGCCUUGAAGCAACUGGAUCAGUGACACCAGUGGAGGUUUCCAGACUUCUCAGCCCGUAGACAGUAAAAGGACUGGAAGGAGACUUAUAGGAGACUUUGCUGAUACUAGGGACAGGUCUCUGUUGCACUACUUUUUUUGGAUCUAGGUUGCAAUCUAGCUCUUAAAUCCCAGUGUGAGGAGUAGUGGAGUUGGGACACUAAUCAGUUUCAGGGUUGAAAAGCGUUCUUGUGGUUGCUUACAAACCGGUGCACAGUAUAGGAAAAUAGUAAACACACCUCUCCCUAGAUCAUUUCACCUUGGAAGAGCCAAAAAUUCAGAUCCCCUGAAUUAUCUCUGAAAACAACUGCACAAAAACACUGAAGCUUGGAACAGUGACUCUCCCACUUGGAAAGCAGAACUCCACUUAAGUAUAGAAUUAAGUUAAAAAAAAAAAAAUGAGCAAACAACAGAAGAAAAAUCUGACCGCAGAAAGUUAUCACGGCGACAAGGAAGAUCAAAACACACAUUUGGAAGAAGACAACAAAGUGAAAAUUCCUGCAUCCAAAGCCUCAAAGAAAAAUGUGACUUGGUCUCAGGCCAUGGAAGAGCUCAGAAAGGAUUUUAAAAAUCAAGUAAGAGAGGUUGAGGAAAAAUUGGGAAGAGAAAUGAGAGUGAUGCAAGAAAAUCAUGAAAAGAGAGUCAACAACUUGGUAAGGGAGACACAAAAAAAUACUGAAGAAAAUAACACCUUAAAAACCAGAAUAGGUCAAAUGGUAAAAGAAGCACAAAAAUCCAUUGAAGAAAAGAAUGCCUUGGAAAGCAGAAUUGGCCAAAUGGAAAAGGAUAUUCAAAAAUUUGCUGAAGAGAAGAACUCCUUAAAAAGUAGAAUUGGUCAAAUGGAAAAGGAGGUGCAAAAGCUCACUGAAGAAAAUAAUUCCUUAAAAGUUAGAAUUGGGCAAGUGGAAGCUAAUGACUUCAUGAGACAUCAAGAAAUAAUCAAACAAAAUCAAAAGAAUGAAAAAAAUAGGAGAAAAUGUGAAAUAUCUCAUUGGAGAAACAACUGACCUGGAUCUAUAUCCAGGAGAAAAAAAUUUAAGAAUUACUGCACUACCUGAAAGUCAGGCUAGGAAAAAAAGAAAAAAAAAAAAAAAAAAAAAAGGAAAAAAGGAAAAAAAAAAAAAAAAAGAAAAGAAGAAAAAAAAGACCACAUCAUUUUAAAACAAAUUAUCAAGAACAACUGCCCUGAUAUUCUAGAACUAGAGAGUAAAAUAGAAAUUGAAAGAAUAUACCUAUCGGCUCCUAAAAGAGAUCCCAAAAUAAAUACUCCAAGGAUUAUUAUAGCCAAAUUCCACAUCAAGGAGAAAAUGCUCCAAGCAGCCAAAAACAAAACAAAACAAAAACUAACAAAAAAAUUCAGAUAUUCUGAAGCCAGUCAGGAUAACACAAAAUUUAAUAAUUUCUACAUUAAAGGAUAAGAGCACUUAGAAUAUGAUAAAGGGCAAAAACAUUAAGAUUACAACCAAGAAUCCCUACUCAGAAAAAAUUAUGGACAUUUAGUGAAACUGAGUACUUUGAAGCAUUCCCGAUGAAAAUUGCUGAUUAAAAAAUUUGACUUUCAAAUACAAGAUGAAAAAAAAAGCAUAAAAAGGUAUACAGAAAAAAAAAUAGGGGAUUCAAUAAGAUUAAACUGUAUAUAUUCUUACAUGGGAAAAUCAUAUUUAUAAUUCAUAAAAUUUCAUUAUGAGGGCAGUUAGAAGGAAUAUAUAUCGAAAGUAGAGGUGUGAGUUAAAUGUGAUGGUAUAAUCUCAAAAAAACAAAAAAAAAAAAAAAAAAAACCCUACAUUAAGGAAUUAAAAAAAAGAAUGCACUGGGAGAAGGAAAAAUGCAGUAGUAGAAUGGGCUAAAUUUUCUCAAAGAGGCCUGAAAGAGAUUUUGCAGUAGAAAGGAAAAAGAUUGUAAGUAGGGAAGGGGGGCCACAUGAACCUUACUCUUAGUGGAACUGGCUCAAAGAGGAAAUAACAUACAUACUUAGUUGGAUGUAUAAAUUUAUCUUAUUAUAUAGGAAAGUAGGAAGGGAAGGGAUCAGAGAAAUGGGGUGGGGGUGGGGGGAGGGCAGUUUGAGGGAGGUAAAAGUCCAAAGUAAAACACAAGAAUGGACAGAGGGAAAUGGAGAGAGUAGGCUAAACUGGGAAAAUAGGAUGGAGGGAAAUUCAUAGUUGAUAAUCAUUCUCUGAAAAAAAAAAUUUUUUUUUUAUAUUAAGUUCCUCUGAUUAGGACUUCUCAAACAGAAAACUGAAUCAAAUUUAUAGAAGAUGUAUUCAUCAACUGAUAAAUGGUUAAAGGAUGUGAAGAAGCCAGUUUUUCAGAUAAAAUAAAACUCUGCUUCCAUGAAAAAAAUGCUGAAACACUAUUGGUGAGAUAAAUUCAAUUUAAAACUGAGUUAUUACCCCACACCUCUCAGAUUGACAAAUGUAGAAAAGGAAAAUGACAAAUGUUGGAGGCAUUGUUGGAAAAUUAAAACAUUAAAAGUACAAACUAAAGUCUUACACUGAAUUAACCAUUCUGGAAAGCAAUUUGGAAAUAUAGCCUUUUGGCUAUAAUGCAUAUCCUUUGACCAAGCAAAUAUCACUAUUUAGUCUAAUAUACACAGUAACAGCAGUAUUAUAUGAUUAACUACUAUGAAUAACAGCUAUUUUCAGUAAUUCAGUGAUUCAAGAAAAUUGUGUAGGACUUAUGAUAAAAAGUGUUAUCCAUCUUUAGAGAAAGAACUGGUAACUCCUGACUUUAGAUAAGAUACUUAUUGUUUUUCUUUUUUUUCACAGAAUGACAAUGUGAAAAUGUGUUUUGCAUGACUACAUGUGUAUAAUCUAUGUCAAUUUGCUUGCUUCUAGUGAUGGGGAAUGGGUGGGGAAGACAACAUCAAAAUUGAAAAAAAAAGUUAAAAUUGUUGCAUGUAACUGGAAAAAAAAUAAAAUAAUAAAUAGUUUAAAAAA